UACGUAGGGGGCAAGCGUUGUCCGGAUUUAUUGGGCGUAAAGGGCGCGUGGGCGGUGCCACAAGUCACCUGUGAAAUCUCCGGGCUUAACUCGGAGCCUGCAGGCGAAACUGUGGUGCUGGAGUGUGGGAGAGGUGCGUGGAAUUCCUGGUGUAGCGGUGAAAUGCGUAGAUAUCAGGAGGAACACCUGUGGUGUAGACAGCUUUCUGGACCAUUGCUGACGCUGAGACACGAAAGCGUGGGUAGCAAACAGG
This 253-nucleotide ribosomal RNA is filed under the name uncultured bacterium. RNAcentral describes it as "partial 16S ribosomal RNA". It matches the Rfam family "Bacterial small subunit ribosomal RNA", at positions 524 to 776 of the family's 1533-position model. The record is from RNAcentral.